This 499-nucleotide ribosomal RNA is filed under the name uncultured bacterium. RNAcentral's name for it is "partial 16S ribosomal RNA". It matches the Rfam family "Bacterial small subunit ribosomal RNA", at positions 30 to 523 of the family's 1533-position model. The record is from RNAcentral.
AUUGAACGCUGGCGGCAUGCUUUACACAUGCAAGUCGAACGGUAACAGGGUGCUUGCACCGCUGACGAGUGGCGAACGGGUGAGUAAUGCGUCGGAACGUGCCGAGUAGUGGGGGAUAACGCAGCGAAAGUUGUGCUAAUACCGCAUACGUACUGAGGUAGAAAGUGGGGGACCUUCGGGCCUCACGCUAUUCGAGCGGCCGACGUCUGAUUAGCUAGUAGGUGAGGUAAAGUCUCACCUAGGCGACGAUCAGUAGCGGGUCUGAGAGGAUGAUCCGCCACACUGGGACUGAGACACGGCCCAGACUCCUACGGGAGGCAGCAGUGGGAAUUUUGGACAAUGGGCGAAAGCCUGAUCCAGCCAUGCCGCGUGUCUGAAGAAGGCCUUCGGGUUGUAAAGGACUUUCGUCAGGGAGGAAAUCCCUAGUGCUAAUAACACUGGGGGAUGACAGUACCUGAAGAAUAAGCACCGGCUAACUACGUGCCAGCCGCCGCCGUAA